CCCUUAGAUGUUCUGGGCUGCACGCGCGCUACACUGAAGCGUUCAACGAGUAUUCACCUUGCCCGGGAGGGUUGGGUAAUCUUUUGAAAACGCUUCGUGAUGGGGAUAGAUUAUUGCAAUUAUUAAUCUUCAACGAGGAAUUCCUAGUAAGCGCGAGUCAUCAGCUCGUGCUGAUUACGUCCCUGCCCUUUGUACACACCGCCCGUCGCUCCUACCGAUUGAGUGAUCUGGUGAAUAAUUCGGACUGCAGCACUGCUUGGUCUCCAGGCUUUGCAGCGGAAAGUUUAGUGAACCUUAUCACUUAGAGGAAGGAGAAGUCGUANCA
Molecule: ribosomal RNA, 325 nt
Filed under: uncultured eukaryote
Lineage: Eukaryota
Description: partial 18S ribosomal RNA
Rfam family: Eukaryotic small subunit ribosomal RNA
Source: RNAcentral